This is a long non-coding RNA of Oreochromis aureus, 2409 nucleotides long. RefSeq lists it as uncharacterized. The transcript has 2 exons. Lineage: Eukaryota; Metazoa; Chordata; Actinopteri; Cichliformes; Cichlidae. The record is from RefSeq and is a predicted model, not a curated record.
CUGACGGGGAGGCGGCAGCAGAGUAAAGCGGGCUGGAAAAGACCAACUCUGAUGCUGCGUGGAGCAAAAACAGAGGAAGCCCGAUGAAUAUUGAUGAGUGAAUUUUGCGAGAAAAAUGAGGGAGAAAAAAGCGAUGUGUUGACAGCAUGGAGAGAUUAAAUUAGCAGCUGCAGCGCCGGGAACAUUGAAUCAUAUUAAGGAUCAGCAGCAGAGGAGCGGAGGAGGAGGAGAGGCUGUACCUGCAGGCCUCUGCUUUCAGGAACCCGGCACCGCAAAACAUCAGGACAUCCGCUAAAUAGCCCACAGAAAACCUCUCACCCAGGGCAGGGAAGUUUAGACAAAUACGCUUUAUUCUUAUUUCGAUCCUUAUGAAAACACCUGGAGAAUGAAAAAAUUUAAACAGCCUGAAAAUCAUUUAAAACGCGGCAGAAACAGUGAAGCUGCAGUAAAUUAAAAUCACGCCUGAACGACAGAUAUCCGAAAUAUCGAAGGAUCGAAUUACGGAUCAGAGUCACGUCACGUCACGUCAGAUCACACGCACUGCAAUAUGAAUGACUCGGUCUGAAUGAAACGAACCUGAAAAGUUCUGAAUGAAUGUCACUGCGUGACGGUGGUCUCAGAGGGUGGCACGCCGGGAGCCCGCAGGAACACCGAGUCCAGACUUUUCACACAGUUUCAUUUCAGCGUCGCUUCAUUUGAAUUUUCGAAUAAUUAUCCUGCUCACAGAAAUAAUGAUUUCAGCCAGAAAACCAGGUUUCACACAGCUGUGCUGUUCAGCAUCAGGGUUCUAACAUAUGAUUUGAUGCGCCUGAAUUAAUCACUUGUUGCACACUAUUUAAAAUCAGCAGCCUGUUUUCUCCACAAUACUUUGGAAACAGCUUCAGUGUAUUUUUAACAUCACUGAAUUUAGUCAAAAUAAGAACAAAACAAAAAAAAAGAAAAGAAAAGAAAACAACGACACUUUAAACAUAAAAGCAUCAAAUUUUCGUCCUUAAAGCACAGCCUGAGUGUUUCAGUGUGAGUGGAGUCUUCCUCUGGUCAGUCCACCGCGCACUUUUUUUCAACCCUGUGCAACUAAAUGGAGCGCUCACUGAAUUUCUCCAAAAACAUAUUUAGAAAAAGAUGAAAAUAAUAAUCUCUGCAGAAUGUGUGUUUACAGCCCUCUCCACAGCAAUGCAUGUCUCUUUAAAUCCCGUCUUAACGCAAAAUUCAGUGUGUAUCGUUUUAAAAACUAGUCGAGUUCGUUUUAUUGAGGACGUAGAAUCCACGCCAAUAUUGAAUUCCCGAACAGUUGAUUUGUAAUUUACAGUCACCAUAGGGAGCCAAUUUACACUCUCCAACUGCACAGCCAUACACGAAAGAACAACACUGUAUUGGUUUGUAGCUGAAGUGAAAUGCUGAAACCAGCUGGGAGUUCGUGGUGGUAAAAACUCAAGCAGAGAGACAGUCAUGGGUUCAAAUCUAAUUUGCCUUGUGCACAACACAAACUCAGGAAAAGCUGCUGAGUAGCAACAGAACUCAGGGCCCAAUGCUUUGCCUGGAAGGGAGCUUGUUACUGCACACACUCACUGUGUAACAGGCCUUCUUCCACAAGUGAAAGUGUGAGCUACGAGGAACACUGCACACUUAUCACAAAGAAUACAAUGUGAGACACUUCAGAGAAGGCCAGCAGACCUCUUGCUCUUUAUUCUGAAAAUUAUGUUUUGAACUGCAGCUGGCAAUAAGCAUGUUUAUUGAUAACACUAAAUGGAAAGCGGUGCACAGCUAUGCAACAGCAUCAAUUGUUGGCACUUGGCCUAAAGAAUCACAAACUAACAAAAUCUCUGAUGACCAAAAUGAUGCUGAUGAUUCUGGGAAACUGUUCAGUCGAGCUGGACGCUGAUCUCACCAAAAACCUGCAGCACUCUUCUUAUAUUCUACUGCCGGCUGCUGACCCGAUUAGCUAAUACUGUCACAGUCCUGCUGAAUAUUCACAAGUUUUGUUCUCUCAUCACACAUUUCCAAGCAGGAGCUCUGAUCAGAAUCAAGAAAUCUCAAAGUUUGAGCAGUUUAUAAGUCAGGGAGCCAACUGUGUCAUCUUCACUGACUGAAAUCAGGGAGCAGAUUUAGGAGCUCAGUAACAGCACACAUGUUCCUCUGAGUUCAUGUAAACAGUGCUGCUCAGUUCAGCCAUUCAGAAUUUCUUUCCGUGUACUCCCACGUCACUGCCCACUUGCUAGAAAUCAAUAAUUGUAUAUAUUUAAAACAUUUUUAGGGAUUUUGGUGCGUGUGGAACUUUUGUUACAUUUCAAACAUGUCCGUGGUGGUGACGGAGACUUCCUCUGUAUUAAAAUGUGCACCUCUGAAGAUAUUUAAUAAUGUAAAGUGUUUGCAAGAACAUGACAAAAUAAAGUGACUUUCAUCUGCAAA